GAUGAACGCUGGCGGCGUGCCUAAUACAUGCAAGUCGAGCGAACAGACGAGGAGCUUGCUCCUCUGACGUUAGCGGCGGACGGGUGAGUAACACGUGGAUAACCUACCUAUAAGACUGGGAUAACUUCGGGAAACCGGAGCUAAUACCGGAUAAUAUAUUGAACCGCAUGGUUCAAUAGUGAAAGACGGUUUUGCUGUCACUUAUAGAUGGAUCCGCGCCGCAUUAGCUAGUUGGUAAGGUAACGGCUUACCAAGGCGACGAUGCGUAGCCGACCUGAGAGGGUGGUCGGCCACACUGGAACUGAGACACGGUCCAGGCUCCUACGGGAGGCAGCAGUAGGGAAUCUUCCGCAAUGGGCGAAAGCCUGACGGAGCAACGCCGCGUGAGUGAUGAAGGUCUUCGGAUCGUAAAACUCUGUUAUUAGGGAAGAACAAAUGUGUAAGUAACUAUGCACGUCUUGACGGUACCUAAUCAGAAAGCCACGGCUAACUACGUG
Molecule: ribosomal RNA, 497 nt
Filed under: uncultured bacterium
Lineage: Bacteria
Description: partial 16S ribosomal RNA
Rfam family: Bacterial small subunit ribosomal RNA
Source: RNAcentral